This is a long non-coding RNA of Pseudoliparis swirei, 544 nucleotides long. RefSeq lists it as uncharacterized. The transcript has 3 exons. The record is from RefSeq and is a predicted model, not a curated record. NCBI's taxonomy places the organism in Eukaryota, Metazoa, Chordata, Actinopteri, Perciformes, Liparidae.
GUGAGCAGAUGUUGGACCCACAGGCCUCCACCAGCAUGCCGCCCCUAAAGCUGGCACUGCAGCAAAACGCACACGUGGAGCUGGAGAAUGGAGACAUUUGUCCUUUAUCCAAAACUCACCAAAAAUGGUGGGAGAACCAGUGGAUCGACAAAUUAGUUUGCAUCAUCCUCUGGGGACCAUGAAUCCCGGUCUCCUCAGACGGAUACAACAGGAUGAUAUUGGUAUUCAGCCCAGCCGUCUGAAUUCCGGGUAUCGGGAUUCGGUACACAGCCCAGCAGUCUGCUGCCCCUGACCUGAUGAGCUCAGACGGCUGUCCGUCCAGAUGAGAGCUCGGAUCCUUUGGGCUGGAUUUGUUCUGAUGACGGUGCAAUCCCCAGAUUGUCGUCCUGUGCCAGGCCCUAUAUGAUUAGAUCAGCAGGCAUAGAUGAAGGAUCGUGUGUGCCUUUGUGUGUGUGUGUGUGUGUGUGUGUGUGUGUGUGUGUGUGUGUGUGUGUGUGUGUAGGUGGGAGUUUGCAUGACCUGAAGGCAAAAACAUUGACCCCCG